CCCUUAGAUGUCCUGGGCCGCACGCGCGCUACACUGACAUGUUCAACAAGCCUCCUAGUUCGACAGGAUUUGGGAAAUCUUUGAACGCAUGUCGUGAUAGGGAUAGAUCAUUGCAAUUAUUGAUCUUGAACGAGGAAUUCCUAGUAAACGCGAGUCAUCAGCUCGCAUUGAUUACGUCCCUGCCCUUUGUACACACCGCCCGUCGCACCUACCGAUUGUAUGUUUCGGUGAAGAUUCCGGAUAGGACUUUUUUGAUUUAUUUCAAUUUUGUCUUAAAAGCUAUCUAAACCUCAACAUUUAGAGGAAGGUGAAGUCGUAACA
This 321-nucleotide ribosomal RNA is filed under the name uncultured eukaryote. RNAcentral's name for it is "partial 18S ribosomal RNA". It matches the Rfam family "Eukaryotic small subunit ribosomal RNA", at positions 1470 to 1796 of the family's 1831-position model. The record is from RNAcentral.